UGGGGAAUUUUGCACAAUGGGGGAAACCCUGAUGCAGCGACGCCGCGUGAUUUAGAAGGCCUUCGGGUUGUAAAAAUCUUUUUUAUGGGAUGAAAAUGACAGUACCAUAAGAAUAAGGUCCGGCUAAAUACGUGCCAGCAGCCGCGGUAAUACGUAUGGACCGAGCGUUGUCCGGAAUCAUUGGGCGUAAAGGGUACGUAGGCGGCCCAGUAAGUGAGAAGUGAAAUAAUAUAGCUCAACUAUAUAAAGCUUUUAAAACUGCUAGGCUUGAGAGAUGGAAGGGAAAGUGGAAUUCCUAGUGUAGCGGUGAAAUGCGCAGAUAUUUGGAAGAAUACCGGUGGCGAAGGCGACUUUCUUGUCAUCAUCUGACGCUGAGGUACGAAAGCGUGGGUAGCAAACAGG
Molecule: ribosomal RNA, 402 nt
Filed under: Verrucomicrobiota bacterium
Lineage: Bacteria; Pseudomonadati; Verrucomicrobiota
Description: Verrucomicrobia bacterium partial 16S ribosomal RNA
Rfam family: Bacterial small subunit ribosomal RNA
Source: RNAcentral